Molecule: ribosomal RNA, 492 nt
Filed under: uncultured bacterium
Lineage: Bacteria
Description: partial 16S ribosomal RNA
Rfam family: Bacterial small subunit ribosomal RNA
Source: RNAcentral
AGUGAACGCUGGCGGUAGGCCUAACACAUGCCAGUCGAACGGCAGCACAGUAAGAGCUUGCUCUUACGGGUGGCGAGUGGCGGACGGGUGAGGAAUACAUCGGAAUCUACUUUUUCGUGGGGGAUAACGUAGGGAAACUUGCGCUAAUACCGCAUACGACCUACGGGUGAAAGCAGGGGAUCUUCGGACCUUGCGCGAUUGAAUGAGCCGAUGUCGGAUUAGCUAGUUGGCGGGGUAAAGGCCCACCAAGGCGACGAUCCGUAGCUGGUCUGAGAGGAUGAUCAGCCACACUGGAACUGAGACACGGUUCAGACUCCUACGGGAGGCAGCAGUGGGGAAUAUUGGACAAUGGGCGCAAGCCUGAUCCAGCCAUACCGCGUGGGUGAAGAAGGCCUUCGGGUUGUAAAGCCCUUUUGUUGGGAAAGAAAAGCAGCAGGUUAAUACCCCGCUGUUCUGACGGUACCCAAAGAAUAAGCACCGGCUAACUUCGUG